UUCAACGUUAUUUAAAACACACAUUGAACCACACCACAUAAAUUACACCCGCAGUCCACGACACAUUUUAUUUAACGUUGUUGAGAAUUGGAGUUGGGUCACAUGAAAUGCACACCCGAGUUUAAGGAAAUUAAUUUAAAUUGUGCGCCUAAAACAACUACGCACUUAACAAAGUUUGCGAGGGCCAUGGAAAAUUCAAUUAAUGGCACACCCCAAUUUUUAAAGAGUUAGUAUUAAUUACGUGAGGGCCAUGAGUUAUUUCAUGAAACUGGCACACCUCAAAUUUUUUUAUAAAAGCUAACUAGUUUUGUGAGGGCCAUGGGCUUAGGGGUUUUAUUUGGCAUGACACGCCUCAAAUUAUUUCAAAUGGUUUUAUUAUUCGAAGUUGUUAUAAUUGUAUUACAUGAAAUGCACCCCGAAUUGAGAUUCGCGUAUCGUAACCAUACAGGAACCGUACUCAUGACCACGAUAAAUUAUUAUUAUUGAUCGCGCCUAAAGAAAGCUACGAUGUUUAUAAAUUGAUUAAUUGUCUAAGUUGGCGAUUUGAGCUUCUCGUAAGUUCUGUCACCAUGGUUAUGAGAUGGAUUGACAAGAAAAAUUUUCAGUCACAUUAUCCGAAAUAAAGCAGUCAAGGUAAAGACAUUCUGUUAACUUUAUUAUCUAAUGUUCUUAUAAGAAUUCCUUAUUUUAGCAAAAUUUACAACAACAUAAAAAAAGAAACAAAAUAAAAAUAAAAAUAGAAGAGCUUCUUCAUCCUUACACUCUUUUCCAUUGAAUUCGUGUCCAGAACAACAAACGGAAAUUAUUAGGAAUUACAUACCAACAUUCAAAUCAAUCUUUCAACAUUCAUCUCUUGCUUCUCGGAUUAAACUCAUGAUGAGGUUGAAUCUAAAUUUGCAUAAGAUCUAAUUAAAUGCAAAUCACAUUAUUUCAGCACAAUCUCAACUUAAACAAAAUCAGAACCUAAGCUUAACAUGUAAAUAGCUGCAAUCGAUUCAAACACUUAAGCACACACAUAGCCAAAACAACUCAGAUUUCCAUUCAUAAUCAAUGAAGCAUCUUAGGCAAAGGUUUACAUACCUAAUCGUAGAGAAUCAACGGGCAUGGACCAAACAUAGGCCACAAUACCAUUGAUGGGGUUCCGAAGCAGCAGCAGAAACAGUGUGUUUCCAACCCACCUAAACCUUUUUUUUAGUUUCGAAUCUACCUUUUCAAAAUCUUCAAGCGUGCUUCUGAUUAUAUUUUUUUUUUGAUCGACUUCUUUUUUUUUUUUUGAUUUUUGAGUGAGGUUAGAGAUGGGUGGAUGUUUCUCUUUCUCUUAGGAUGAAGCUAAAAAUGGCUGCUAUCUUUAUAACCAUACAACUCUUUUCAACAGACAGUAGAAAAUGGAGAAAUUUGAGAGUUACUGGGUUCUCAUUAUUAAAGAGUUGUUGGGUUCUUUUUUGUGUGUGAUUUUUGGGAAACCAAAAAGAAGAAUAAUGGAGCUAGAGGGUGCCGUUUUUUUACAGGGGUCUGAUUAGAGAAGAACUCUCAUUUUCCUUUUUGCUCUAUGUGCGCCGCUGCUAUCUCUUUUUUUUUUUUUUGGAAAGAAGAUUUGAUCUCCUCCUUUAAGUCUAGGAGCUGCUAGGUCAUUUUAAUGUGGAGGGGGGUCCGAUUGGAUA
This 1661-nucleotide long non-coding RNA is filed under the name Nicotiana tabacum (common tobacco). RNAcentral's name for it is "long non-coding RNA (NTAB_LNC002422)". The record is from RNAcentral. Lineage: Eukaryota; Viridiplantae; Streptophyta; Magnoliopsida; Solanales; Solanaceae.